RNAcentral lists this ribosomal RNA (424 nucleotides) under uncultured bacterium. Its description in RNAcentral is "bacterial SSU rRNA". It matches the Rfam family "Bacterial small subunit ribosomal RNA", at positions 359 to 775 of the family's 1533-position model. The record is from RNAcentral.
GAAUUUUGGACAAUGGGGGAAACCCUGAUCCAGCCAUGCCGCGUGCAGGAUGAAGGCCUUCGGGUUGUAAACUGCUUUUGUACGGAACGAAAAGGUCUUUUCUAAUAAAGAAGGCUGAUGACGGUACCGUAAGAAUAAGCACCGGCUAACUACGUGCCAGCAGCCGCGGUAAUACGUAGGGUGUGAGCGUUAAGCGGAAUUACUGGGCGUAAAGCGUGCGCAGGCGGUUAUGCAAGACAGAUGUGAAAUCCCCGGGCUCAACCUGGGAACUGCAUUAGUGACUGCAUAGCUAGAGUGCGGCAGAGGGGGAUGGAAUUCCGCGUGUAGCAGUGAAAUGCGUAGAUAUGCGGAGGAACACCGAUGGCGAAGGCAAUCCCCUGGGCCUGCACUGACGCUCAUGCACGAAAGCGUGGGGAGCAAACAG